GGCGAUUUUACAACCCUUCCCA
This 22-nucleotide microRNA is filed under the name Sarcophilus harrisii (Tasmanian devil). Its description in RNAcentral is "Sha-Mir-7327_3p (mature (guide))". The record is from RNAcentral. Lineage: Eukaryota; Metazoa; Chordata; Mammalia; Dasyuromorphia; Dasyuridae. RNAcentral also lists the same sequence under 2 other names.